GAUGAACGCUGGCGGCGCGCCUAACACAUGCAAGUCGAACGAUUAAAGCACCUUCGGGUGUGUAUAAAGUGGCGAACGGCUGAGUAACACGUGGGCAACCUGCCCCUUUCAUUGGGAUAGCCACGGGAAACCGUGGAUAAUACCGAAUACUUCGAGACUUCCGCAUGGAAGACUCGAGAAAGCUCCGGCGGAGAGGGAUGGCCCGCGGCCUGUUAGCUUGUUGGUGGGGUAACGGCCUACCAAGGCAAUGAUGGGUAGCUGGGUUGAGAGACCGACCAGCCAGAUUGGGACUGAGACACGGCCCAGACUCCUACGGGAGGCAGCAGGGGGGAAUCUUGCACAAUGGGCGAAAGCCUGAUGCAGCGACGCCGCGUGCGGGAUGAAGGCCUUCGGGUUGUAAACCGCUUUCAGCAGGGACGAGGCGAAAGUGACGGUACCUGCAGAAGAAGCCCCGGCUAACUACGUG
This 466-nucleotide ribosomal RNA is filed under the name uncultured bacterium. Its description in RNAcentral is "partial 16S ribosomal RNA". It matches the Rfam family "Bacterial small subunit ribosomal RNA", at positions 28 to 507 of the family's 1533-position model. The record is from RNAcentral.